This 253-nucleotide ribosomal RNA is filed under the name uncultured bacterium. RNAcentral describes it as "partial 16S ribosomal RNA". It matches the Rfam family "Bacterial small subunit ribosomal RNA", at positions 524 to 776 of the family's 1533-position model. The record is from RNAcentral.
UACGUAGGGUGCGAGCGUUGUCCGGAAUUAUUGGGCGUAAAGAGCUUGUAGGCGGUCUGUCGCGUCUGCUGUGAAAAUCCGGGGCUCAACCCCGGACUUGCAGUGGGUACGGGCAGACUAGAGUGUGGUAGGGGAGACUGGAAUUCCUGGUGUAGCGGUGAAAUGCGCAGAUAUCAGGAGGAACACCGAUGGCGAAGGCAGGUCUCUGGGCCACUACUGACGCUGAGGAGCGAAAGUGUGGGGAGCGAACAGG